AUGACAUGUCCUUACUGUAGGGGACUGAAGACAAACCUGCAAUAUCUCUGAGAGUAUUCUAGCUGCCUCCGCCUUUGAGACAGAGCAGGAAGAACCUGUGGAUGGUGGGAUUCCCUCUUCUUGGAGAAGGGGAUGAGCAUUUCCCGCUGCCCUCCUGACACGCCCGUGGCUGUCUGCCUUGCUCUGUACCUCCAGACUUCAUGGAAAGCAUGCUCGACCUUUGACUUCUGGAAAUCCUUGAAUGAAGCACAAAAGGGAUUGGUCCUUGCCUGGUGUGAAGCACAGCUGAGCCAAAGGAGGAAGCAAUAUUGCAAUGGACUCUGUCUUUGACAUCACUACUUUGCAAAUUUGUUACCACUAUGGUCAAAUUUUUAUAUUCACUCUUACAUUUUAACUCAUUCUGCUCAUUAUAUUCAAUGCAACAUCUGCACUAAAAGAUACUCAGGCAUUAAUUUAUGCUUUUCUGUUUACAAAUGAGAAUUCAUAAGCAAAUUGAGGUAGCAAUUAGAUAUUUUUUAAAAUCGAAGACAAAACAGAAGACACAUACACACACAUCAGUGGAACACAACAGAGAGCCCAGAAACAGACUGAAAUACAGCCGACUAAUCUCUGACAAAGGAGCAAAAGCAAUUCAAUGGAGAAAGGAGAGUCUUUUUAACAAAUGGUGCCGGAACAAGUGGGCAUCCAUAUGCAAAAAAGAAAAAAAAAAAGAAUCUAAAAACAGACCUUAUACUUCUUACAAAAAUUAAUGCAAAGUAGAUAUUAGACCAAUAUAUAAAAUGUAAAAUUUUCAAACUUCUAGAAGAUAACAUAAGGAAAAAAUCUAGUUAACUUUGGAUUUGGUGACUUUUUAAAGAUACAACACCAAAAGCAUGAUCCACGAAGACAAAAAUUGGUAAGCUGAAUUUCAUUAACAUGAAAAACUUUUGUUUUGCAAAAGAUACCAUUAAGAGAAUAAAAAGACAAAUCCCAAACUGUGAGAAAAUAUUUGCAAAAUAUAUCUAAGGAUUCGUAUCUGAAAUAUGCAAAGAACUGUUAAAACUCAACAAGAGGAAAACAAACAACCCAAUUAAAAAUGGGCAAAAGCUGAACAGAUAUGCAGAUGGAAACUAACUAUAUGAAAAGAUGCUCUGUAUGUUAUUAGGAACUGCCAAUUAAGACAACAAUAAGACACCACUACACACCUAUUAGAAUGGCCAAAAUCCACAAGUCUGAAAACACCAAAUGCUGGUGAGGAUGUGAAGCAACAAGAACUCUCAUUCAUUGCUGUGGGAAUGCAAAAUGGCACAGCCACUUUGGAAGACAGUUUGGCAGUUUUUUACAAAGCUCACAUAGUCUUAUUAUAAGAUUUAGCAAUUGUGCUCUUCAUUAUUUACCCAGUGGAGUUGAAGAGUUAUGUCCACACACAAACUUGCACACAAAUGUUUAUAAAAGCUUUAUUCAGGAUUACCAGAAACUGGAGGUGAUCAACAUGUCCUUCAGUAGGUGAAUGGAGAAAUAAAUUCUGAUAUCUACAGACAAUGGAAUAUCAUUCAGUGAGAAAAGACCUAUCAAGUCAUGAAAAGGCAUACCGGGACCCAAAAUGCACAUUACUAACGAAAAAAGCCAAAAAGGCUACAUACUGUAUGAUUCCAAUUAUGUGACAUUUUGGAAAAGGGAAAAUUACACAGAUAGUAAAAUGAUCGGUGGUUGGUAGGGGUUGAGGAGAGGGAAGGAUAGAUGGUCAGAGAGUUCCGGAUGUUUAGGGCAGUGAGACCAUUGUGUGCGAUUUCACCACAACGGUGGACCCACGACAGUGUGCAGAUGCCAAACCCAUUGAAUGCAGACCACAAAAAGAUAAUAAUUACAUAAACUAUGAACUUUCAUAAUGAAAUAAAUCAUGUUUUAAAAAAGUAGACAGCUUUGUUCAGUUACUGUCUACUUUUUGAAAUGGAGAGGGUGGGAUGCUUACAUGGUUGUGAGGAUAAAAAUAGCUUAGAGAAUGUAAUAACUAAAACAGGUGUGUAAACAUUGUUAAACUCUUUUAUCCUCAUUAAAAAACAUUGCUUAAAUAUAUUUGUAAUUUUUUACAACUGAGCGAGUAGUGCAAACACAUUAACAUAAUUCUCCUCUAGCUCCGCUCAGAAGUCAGGCUUCAGUGCAGGACCACAUGGCUCCAAGUGCACCUGCCAAAUGCAACAACCUCUUUCAACGUCAUUAAAAUAUUUCAAUAGGAGGCUUGAUUUUAGACUCAACCUGUGUUUUCUCCCCUGGAAAAUGAAGGUUUUAUGAAACAAAGAAGGUCUUUACCAUUCUCAUCCAAAAUGCUGAGACAUCUGUGAUGUCUGCUGUAAGUGCCACCAGGCUCUCCUCUGAAAUCUCACAACGGGAAAAUAGAGACUGUCAAUUCUGCUUUUAGAAAGGGGAGAAUCAGAUCUAAUGUCGAAAUGCCAUGUCCUCAUUCAUACACAUCUUCUUUUACAAAUUCCACAGGUUUAGUUACUUUGGGAUUAAUAUGGGCCUAUUUUAAAGUGCAUUUAUUAAUUUAGCAUGAAAUGUCCAAAUGCAUUCUGGAUCCUGAGCUGACAUCCAGCAAUGCUGAGUGUGCGCCUGUGUGAGUCACCAGCCCUGAUGAGCCUCAGGUUAUUGUAUUCAUAAAAUGAAGGGGCUUAGGCUUGCUCCGAUUUUUUUAAAACCAUUUUUAACAGUAAAAACUUGUUUCUUGUUACAUAAAAAUGUACAAGAAAAACCCAAACAUUACAAAUGAUAAAUUAUAAUUUUAUUAAUAUAAAUAUUUUGUGAGCUCAAUUUAUAGGACUUAGUUAUUAUAAAAGAAAUAAGCAACAUGAGGUGGCCAUACUUUCCUAUUUUGUUCACAUGCUAUUGAUAAAUCUUGAUGUACACAGAAAAUUAGUUUCAAAGAAUAAUAAUUUUAAAAAUCUUGACUUGUAAUUUCAAGGGACUUUAAAAAAAUUCCUGCAAUUUCUCUUUAAAGGUUCUAGAACAGUUUUCUAUGUCUUAAAGCUAAAUAAUCACAAAGAACUAACUGUUCUCACAUUCUGUAUUAUAAAUAUGUAAGUCAGAAAAGGAACAGACAAAAGAAUAAAAACACAUGCGUGAACAAAUGGGCCUUGGUUUACAUUGAAUUGGAUCUGGCAAUGAACAUGGGUUAUAGUAGUAUUUUUGUGUGUAAUUUUACACGAGUGGACUGUUGACAAAAUAAAAAUUGUCUGCAAUCACUAUUUGGUGGUAUAUUUGCACAAAUGGUAAACAUAUACAUAGAGGUCGUGGGAGAAAUUUAUUUCAUGGCUUACCAGAAGACAGGUUAAGUUGGGA
This 3315-nucleotide long non-coding RNA is filed under the name Homo sapiens (human). RNAcentral describes it as "HSALNT0025645". The record is from RNAcentral. Lineage: Eukaryota; Metazoa; Chordata; Mammalia; Primates; Hominidae.